Molecule: ribosomal RNA, 233 nt
Filed under: uncultured bacterium
Lineage: Bacteria
Description: partial 16S ribosomal RNA
Rfam family: Bacterial small subunit ribosomal RNA
Source: RNAcentral
CGGGUGGGUAACGCGUGAGGAACCUGCCUCAAAGAGGGGGACAACAGUUGGAAACGACUGCUAAUACCGCAUAAGCCCACAGCUCGGCAUCGAGCAGAGGGAAAAGGAGUGAUCCGCUUUGAGAUGGCCUCGCGUCCGAUUAGCUAGUUGGUGAGGUAAUGGCCCACCAAGGCGACGAUCGGUAGCCGGACUGAGAGGUUGAACGGCCACAUUGGGACUGAGACACGGCCCAA